ACAGACAUCCUUUUGGCUGAGUUCUGCUGCCUGAAAACUUCUGUCAAAACACAGAAUCGUUUCUGGAAGUGAGACGAUUGAACUGGUUUCUUGCCAACAGGUGUCCCAGAAGGAGCGUUCGCAGCUCCCUGGAGGCGGGAACGGAGUCCCCCGGGGAGAGAGUGGUCCAGGGUUUGCCCUCAGGCGUCCACACUGUCCGCCGGCGAGGCUGGUCCUGUUCCCAGCACCCACGCUGCUAGAGCCACCGGAUCUCCCAGGAGGAGACCCAGCUGCACUCAGAAGAAUCACGCUGGCCUAGGAGAUGGACGGCGGCGUGCGGGGACCGUGUGCGGCUGCAAAGCUGAGCUGUCGUCUUGCCUGUGGCUUCCGAAAUGCAGCCCUGGGCCCUGUGAUCGCUGCAUUUUCUCUGCGCAGCUUUGAGGGACGGAGUGUGCUGACCAACAGAAGAAAGGCAAACAGCAGAAACUGACACUGUGGUGGCCACUGGACGUGGCCUCGGUCGGCUGCGGAGAGAGAAUUUAUUUCCACAGCGACCCUCAGGAGGCGCAGGUCUUGGCCAGACCCAUUCUUAGAAAGGAACAUGAGAUCAGAAAGGCUUGUGUGUUGUUUUAAAACAAACCCUGCAUCCACUGCUCACCUAGUCCUCUGUGAGGCAGGUGACACCUCCUCCUGAAGAGAAUCGGGGCGUCCCGCAACUACCCCACUCUUCCCACUGCCUGUGCAGUGCAGAGCAGGACACACCUGCAGGGGCCAGGGGACAAGCGCUGGGUUCCGUAGAACGGUCCUGGGUCCUGUAGAGGGGUCCUGGGUUCUGUAGAGGGGCCCUGGGUUCUAUAGAGGGGCCCUGGGUCCUGUAGAGGGGUCCUGGGUUCUACAGAGGGGCCCUGGGUCCUGUAGAGGGGUCCUGGGUUCUGUAGAGGGGUCCUCGGUUCUGUAGAGGGGUCCUGGGUUCUGUAGAGGGGUCCUGGGUUCUAUAGAGGGGUCCUGGGUUCUGUGGAGGGGUCCUGGGUUCUGUAGAUGGGUUCUGGGUUCUGUAGAAGGGUCCUGGGUUCUGUAGAGGGGUCCUGGGUUCUGUAGAUGGGUUCUGGGUUCUGUAGAGGGGUCCUGAGUUCUGUAGAGGGGUCCUGAGUUCUGUAGAGGGGUCCUGGGUUCUGUAGAGGGGUCCUGAGUUCUGUAGAGGGGCCCUGGGUUCUGUAGAGGGGUCCUGGGUUCUGUAGAGGGGUCCUGGGUUCUGUAGAGGGGUCCUGGGUUCUAUGGAGGGGUCCUGCGUUCUGUAGAGGGGUCCUGGGUUCUGUAGAGGGGUCCUGAGUUCUGUAGAUGGGUUCUGGGUUCUGUAGAGGGGUCCUGAGUUCUGUAGAGGGGUCCUGGGUUCUAUGGAGGGGUCCUGCAUUCUGUAGAGGGGUCCUGGGUUCUGUAGAGGGGUCCUGAGUUCUGUAGAGGGGCCC
This 1445-nucleotide long non-coding RNA is filed under the name Homo sapiens (human). Its description in RNAcentral is "non-protein coding lnc-DLL1-3:6". Lineage: Eukaryota; Metazoa; Chordata; Mammalia; Primates; Hominidae. The record is from RNAcentral.